RNAcentral lists this long non-coding RNA (570 nucleotides) under Homo sapiens (human). RNAcentral describes it as "non-protein coding lnc-CKAP2L-1:2". The record is from RNAcentral. Lineage: Eukaryota; Metazoa; Chordata; Mammalia; Primates; Hominidae.
CCUCGCCCUGGAGUCUCGGCACCGUCUGGCCCCGCCGGCUGAUUACAGCCAGAGAUCGAGGGGGACCUCGCUGUCCCCCUAGAGGCCGUCAUGCGGGGUUACAGAGGCUGCGACCAAAGUCAUUCCUAGCUCCUCUCUCGGGGCUCCGGAAAGCCGUCCGCGCCUCCAGCCGCACUUUCAGCGCACGCAGGACCUGCCGCGCCCGGUGGCCACACCCGUCCCUCUGCCGGGUGACGCUGCGGGAGAUCUUGCGCCCUGGGGCUCCGGAUCCAGUUCUGUCAUGCACUUGGGUGAAAACAGACUGAAGAGUCACGGGAACCAGCUUGUCUCCCCAGUUAUGGCGCAGAGCUGCAAGGAUGGCUGUGGGUCAUUAAUUUCUCCGUGGCUGACCUGUGUUUGUAACGCCGCAGCUGUUGCGAGGGGGAAGGACACUGCUUCGGAUUCAAAUUCUGACUCCUUGCUGCAGUGUGUCACCUUGAGCCAGUCCCAGAUCUCUGCGUUCUCACAAUUGUAAAAUGUUAACAGAGGCUGCCUACCUUGUGGCUGGAAUUAAAUGAAUUAACGUGUGUG